Molecule: long non-coding RNA, 692 nt
Filed under: Penaeus japonicus
Lineage: Eukaryota; Metazoa; Arthropoda; Malacostraca; Decapoda; Penaeidae
Description: uncharacterized LOC122244121, transcript variant X2
Source: RNAcentral
GCAUAGAAUUACAGUUUGCUCCUUAAAUCAUUCCAGAACAUUUGGUCGUAUCCAAGAAGACAAGGUUCCGGAGUCUGGCACAGGCUUAGACACGACAAACGAAAAGGCUAGAAGUUUUACCGUCAUAGAUGCGGACACAACGAGGGAAUCUGACACUGGCCCUGAAUUUUCCGAGAAAACCGAUAAGCUCUACAGACAGGUGGAGAGUGAUGUUUAUUACGCAAGACAAUAUAUCUUGGCGCAGUUCCGACAAAUAAGUAAUCGGUUAACCAGCGAAGAUAACAAACAAUACCUCGCCGAUGAAAUUGAAAGUGUCAAACACCAUUUCAGCGUGACCCAAUCCGAUCUCUGGAAAUUCCGCAUCGAGUCCGGCCUGCAUGCAUGGCAGACACGAGAGUUAGAAAACUAAGCGACCUGGUACAGCACAGAAUCCAUGUGUUACAGAAUCCUGCAGACUGUAAACUUGCCAGGAAAAUGCUCUGUAAUAUACCUACGCUUCCAAAGUUUACAGUCUCAGACUCCUCUCCCCAUCUUCGGGGAUUGGGGAGUCAAUAUCACCACCUGACAUACUGCGCCCUUGCUGCAUACGGGACACAGAGAACGCUUAUAAUUAACGGGAUGGAAACGCACACGUUGGGUUUCGCCUUGGAAAACUUUUUUCUGCCUCCUAGUGAAAACUGCACCCGUACAGC